This 119-nucleotide ribosomal RNA is filed under the name Petromyzon marinus (sea lamprey). The record is from RNAcentral. Lineage: Eukaryota; Metazoa; Chordata; Hyperoartia; Petromyzontiformes; Petromyzontidae.
GCCUACGACCAUAUCACCCUGAAUGCGCCCGAUCUCGUCUGAUCUCGGAAACUAAGCAGGGUCGAGUCUGGUUAGUACUUGGAUGGGAGACUGCCUGGGAAUAGCAGGUGUUGUAUGCU